GAAACUCCUGCUAAUACCGCAUAGCCAUGAGCACCGCAUGGAGCUCAUGCCAAAUAUCCUUUCGGGGAUAGCGCAGGGAUGGACCUAUGGCGCAUUAGCUUGUUGGCGGGGCAAUGGCCCACCAAGGCAACGAUGCGUAGCCGGCCUGAGAGGGCGGACGGCCACAUUGGGACUGAGACACGGCCCAGACUCCUACGGGAGGCAGCAGUAGGGAAUUUUCGGCAAUGGGGGAAACCCUGACCGAGCAACGCCGCGUGAGCGAAGAAGGCCUUCGGGUCGUAAAGCUCUGUUGUAAAGGAAGAACGGCGCAUACAGGAAAUGGUAUGCGAGUGACGGUACUUUACCAGAAAGCCACGGCUAACUACGUGCCAGCAGCCGCGGUAAUACGUAGGUGGCGAGCGUUAUCCGGAAUCAUUGGGCGUAAAGAGGGAGCAGGCGGCCGCAAGGGUCUGUGGUGAAAGACCGAAGCUAAACUUCGGUAAGCCAUGGAAACCGGGCGGCUAGAGUGCGGAAGAGGAUCGUGGAAUUCCAUGUGUAGCGGUGAAAUGCGUAGAUAUAUGGAGGAACACCAGUGGCGAAGGCGACGGUCUGGGCCGCAACUGACGCUCAUUCCCGAAAGCGUGGGGAGCAAAUAGGAUUAGAUACCCUAGUAGUCCACGCCGUAAACGAUGGUCACUAAGUGUCGGGGGUCAAACCCCGGUGCU
RNAcentral lists this ribosomal RNA (704 nucleotides) under uncultured bacterium. Its description in RNAcentral is "bacterial SSU rRNA". It matches the Rfam family "Bacterial small subunit ribosomal RNA", at positions 153 to 847 of the family's 1533-position model. The record is from RNAcentral.